This 1500-nucleotide ribosomal RNA is filed under the name uncultured bacterium. RNAcentral describes it as "bacterial SSU rRNA". It matches the Rfam family "Bacterial small subunit ribosomal RNA". The record is from RNAcentral.
AGAGUUUGAUCCUGGCUCAGAAUAAACGCUGGCGGCGUGCUUAACACAUGCAAGUCGAACGAGAAAGGUCUUCGGACUGAGUAAAGUGGCGAACGGGUGAGNNACGCGUGAGAAUCUACCCCUUAGUGAAGAAUACCUUCGAGAAAUCGAAGUUAAUGCUGCAUAAGCUCCUUAAUUGGAGGAAAGAUGGCCUCUUUGCUGUCGCUGAGGGAUGAGCUUGCGUACUAUUAGCUAGUUGGUGGGGUAAAGGCCUACCAAGGCAAGGAUGGUUAGCCGGCCUGAGAGGGUGUACGGCCACAUUGGAACUGAGACACGGUCCAGACUCCUACGGGAGGCAGCAGUGAGGAAUAUUGCGCAAUGGGCGAAAGCCUGACGCAGCGACGCCGCGUGGAGGAUGAAGGCCUUCGGGUUGUAAACUUCUGNUGAUAUUGGACGAACAAUUUCCCGUAAAUAAUGGGAAGGAAUGACGGUAGCCAAGGAGGAAGCCCCGGCUAACUACGUGCCAGCAGCCGCGGUAAUACGUAGGGGGCGAGCGUUGUCCGGAUUUACUGGGCGUAAAGGGUGAGUAGGCGGUUGUAUGUGUCAGAUGUAAAAGGCUAUGGCUUAACCAUAGUUGGCAUUUGAAACUGUACAACUUGAGUGCACAUUUGAGGUAAGUGGAAUUCCUAGUGUAGCGGUGAAAUGCGUAGAUAUUAGGAGGAACACCAGUGGCGAAGGCGACUUACUGGACUGUAACUGACGCUGAGUCACGAAAGCGUGGGUAGCAAACAGGAUUAGAUACCCUGGUAGUCCACGCUGUAAACGAUGAGUGCUAGGUGUUGGGAGGGUGGAGCAAUUCAGUGCCGAAGUUAACACAAUAAGCACUCCGCCUGGGGAGUACGGUCGCAAGACUGAAACUCAAAGGAAUUGACGGGGACCCGCACAAGCAGCGGAGCAUGUGGUUUAAUUCGAAGCAACGCGAAGAACCUUACCAAGGUUUGACAUCCCCUUGACAGAUGCAGAGAUGUACCUUCCCCUUCGGUUAUCCGGGAUACAGGUGGUGCAUGGUUGUCGUCAGCUCGUGUCGUGAGAUGUUGGGUUAAGUCCCGCAACGAGCGCAACCCUUGUCUUUAGUUGCCAGCAGGUUAAGCUGGGCACUCUAAGGAGACUGCCGGUGACAAACCGGAGGAAGGUGGGGAUGACGUCAAAUCAUCAUGCCCCUUAUGAGUUGGGCUACACACGUGCUACAAUGGUCGGUACAAAGGGCAGCGAAGCCGCGAGGUGGAGCCAAUCCCAGAAAGCCGUUCUCAGUUCGGAUUGCAGGCUGCAACUCGCCUGCAUGAAGUCGGAAUCGCUAGUAAUCGCAGGUCAGCAUACUGCGGUGAAUACGUUCCCGGGUCUUGUACACACCGCCCGUCACACCACGAGAGUUUGUAACACCCGAAGUCGGUGAGGUAACCUUAGGGAGCCAGCCGCCGAAGGUGGGACAGAUGAUUGGGGUGAAGUCGUAACAAGGUAACC